CAUGCAAGUCGAGCGGUAACAGACAUAAAGAUUCAGCUUGCUGAAUCCGGUGCUGACGAGCGGCGAACGGGUGAGUAACGCGUAGGAAUCUACCCAGUAGCGGGGGAUAGCCCGAGGAAACUCGGAUUAAUACCGCAUACGCCCUGAGGGGGAAAGGGGGCAGUUUACUGCUCUCACUAUUGGAUGAGCCUGCGUAAGAUUAGCUUGUUGGUGGGGUAAUGGCCUACCAAGGCAACGAUCUUUAGCUGGUCUGAGAGGACGAUCAGCCACAUUGGGACUGAGACACGGCCCAGACAUCUACGGAUGGCAGCAGUUAAGAAUAUUGGACAAUGGGGGCAACCCUGAUCCAGGUAUACCGCGUGUGUGAAGAAGGCCCUAGGGUUGUAAAGCACUUUAAUCAGAGAAGAAGCAUUUUAAGUUAAUACCUUAAUAUGUUGACGUUACCUGAAGAAUAAGGACCGGCUAACUCCGUGCCAGCAGCCGCGGUAAUACGGAGGGUCCAAGCGUUAAUCGGAAUUACUGGGCGUAAAGCGCGCGUAGGCGGUUUAGCAAGUUGUAUGUGAAAGCCCUGGGCUCAACCUAGGAACUGCAUCCAAAACUACUAAGCUAGAGUACGAGAGAGGAGAGUAGAAUUUCUGGUGUAGCGGUGAAAUGCGUAGAUAUCAGAAGGAAUACCAAUGGCGAAGGCAGCUCUCUGGCUCGUCACUGACGCUGAGGUGCGAAAGCGUGGGUAGCAAACAGGAUUAGAUACCCUGGUAGUCCACGCCGUAAACGAUGAGAACUAGCCGUUGGGCAGAUUUAACUGUUCAGUGGCACAGCUAACGCAUUAAGUUCUCCGCCU
RNAcentral lists this ribosomal RNA (841 nucleotides) under uncultured Gammaproteobacteria bacterium. RNAcentral's name for it is "bacterial SSU rRNA". It matches the Rfam family "Bacterial small subunit ribosomal RNA", at positions 54 to 874 of the family's 1533-position model. The record is from RNAcentral. Lineage: Bacteria; Pseudomonadati; Pseudomonadota; Gammaproteobacteria.